ACGGGUGAGUAACGCGUAAGAAUCUGCCCUACAGUGAAGAAUACCUUCGAGAAAUCGAAGUUAAUACUGCAUACGUUCCGAAAGGAAGAAAGAUGGCCUCUUUGCUGUCGCUGAAGGAUGAGCUUGCGUACUAUUAGCUAGUUGGUAGGGUAAAGGCCUACCAAGGCAAAGAUGGUUAGCCGGCCUGAGAGGGUGUACGGCCACAUUGGAACUGAGACACGGUCCAGACUCCUACGGGAGGCAGCAGUGAGGAAUAUUGCGCAAUGGGCGAAAGCCUGACGCAGCGACGCCGCGUGGAGGAUGAAGGUCUUAGGAUUGUAAACUUCUGUUAAACGGGAAGAAAUGCACGAUUCUAAUACAAUCGUGAGAUGACGGUACCGUUAGAGAAAGCACUGGCUAAUCUCGUGCCAGCAGCCGCGGUAAUACGAGAGGUGCGAGCGUUAUUCGGAAUUAUUGGGCGUAAAGGGUGCGCAGACGGUUUGUUAAGUCAAUUGUUUAAUUCCUCGGCCUAACUGAGGAUCAGCAGUAGAAACUGAUAGACUAGAGUAUGAAAGAGGGAAGUGGAAUUCUCGGA
RNAcentral lists this ribosomal RNA (574 nucleotides) under uncultured bacterium. Its description in RNAcentral is "bacterial SSU rRNA". It matches the Rfam family "Bacterial small subunit ribosomal RNA", at positions 102 to 674 of the family's 1533-position model. The record is from RNAcentral.